GAUGAACGCUGGCGGCGUGCUUAACACAUGCAAGUCGAACGAAGCACUUAUCUUUGUUUCUUCGGCUGAAGUGGUUUGUGACUGAGUGGCGGACGGGUGAGUAACGCGUGGGUAACCUGCCUCAUCCAGGGGGUUAACCGUUAGACAUGACUGCUAAUACCGCAUAUGACCACGGAGCCGCAUGGCUCAGUGGUAAAAACUCCGGUGGUAUGAGAUGGCCCCGCGUCUGAUUAGUUAGUUGGUGGGGUAACGGCCUACCAAGCCAACGAUCAGUAGCCGACAGGAGAGGGUGACCGGCCACAUUGGGACUGAGACACGGCCCAAACUCCUACGGGAGGCAGCAGUGGGGAAUAUUGCACAAUGGGGGAAACCCUGAUGCAGCGACGCCGCGUGAGAGAAGAAGUAUUUCGGUAUGUAAAGCUCUAUCAGAAGGGAAGAAAAUGACGGUACCUGACUAAGAAGCACCGGCUAAAUACGUG
This 479-nucleotide ribosomal RNA is filed under the name uncultured bacterium. RNAcentral's name for it is "partial 16S ribosomal RNA". It matches the Rfam family "Bacterial small subunit ribosomal RNA", at positions 28 to 507 of the family's 1533-position model. The record is from RNAcentral.